Molecule: long non-coding RNA, 213 nt
Filed under: Gossypium raimondii (Peruvian cotton)
Lineage: Eukaryota; Viridiplantae; Streptophyta; Magnoliopsida; Malvales; Malvaceae
Description: long non-coding RNA (GRAI_LNC003451)
Source: RNAcentral
AACAACAAGAUAAUAAAAAUAAAGAAUGAACACAAAUAUUUUACGUGGAAAACUCGUCAAAGAGGAUAAAAAAUCACGGGCAAAGGACGCUUUAGCUUUUCACAAUGAGUAAGCAAACAUGAGUAUAAUAUGGAGAAAAUAAACCUAAAUGUACUAAACGUACAAACCCAUACCCCGAAAACAAAGCCCUAAAUCCCUUCCCUCCCCCCCCCC